ACGCACGCUGGCGGCGUGCUUCACACAUGCAAGUCGCACGGAAAGGCCCUGCUUUUGUGGGGUGCUUGAGUGGCGAACGGGUGAGUAACACGUGAGUAACCUGCCCUUGACUUUGGGAUAACUUCAGGAAACUGGGGCUAAUACCGGAUAGGAGCUCCUGCUGCAUGGUGGGGGUUGGAAAGUUUCGGCGGUUGGGGAUGGACUCGCGGCUUAUCAGCUUGUUGGUGGGGUAGUGGCUUACCAAGGCUUUGACGGGUAGCCGGCCUGAGAGGGUGACCGGCCACAUUGGGACUGAGAUACGGCCCAGACUCCUACGGGAGGCAGCAGUGGGGAAUAUUGCACAAUGGGCGGAAGCCUGAUGCAGCAACGCCGCGUGCGGGAUGACGGCCUUCGGGUUGUAAACCGCUUUCGCCUGUGACGAAGCGUGAGUGACGGUAAUGGGUAAAGAAGCACCGGCUAACUACGUG
RNAcentral lists this ribosomal RNA (467 nucleotides) under uncultured bacterium. RNAcentral's name for it is "partial 16S ribosomal RNA". It matches the Rfam family "Bacterial small subunit ribosomal RNA", at positions 29 to 507 of the family's 1533-position model. The record is from RNAcentral.